RNAcentral lists this ribosomal RNA (143 nucleotides) under uncultured bacterium. Its description in RNAcentral is "partial 16S rRNA". It matches the Rfam family "Bacterial small subunit ribosomal RNA", at positions 355 to 511 of the family's 1533-position model. The record is from RNAcentral.
UGGGGAAGUUUUCUUGCAAUGGGCGAAAGCCUGACGGAGCAAUGCCGCGUGGAGGUGGAAGGCCUACGGGUCGUCAACUUCUUUUCUCGGAGAAGAAACAAUGACGGUAUCUGAGGAAUAAGCAUCGGCUAACUCUGUGCCAG